Molecule: long non-coding RNA, 4744 nt
Organism: Centruroides sculpturatus (bark scorpion)
Lineage: Eukaryota; Metazoa; Arthropoda; Arachnida; Scorpiones; Buthidae
Exons: 2
Source: RefSeq, a predicted model, not a curated record
UACUGAACACCAGGGGAGUUGGGUUCCAUAUUAAAAGCACCAAUGGGGUCCAUAUUUCACGCAUCUCCAUCUUGGGUUAACUUAAUUCCUGUCGGCACCAAACUUUAAAAACGUAAAUCACACAGAUUAAUAUAAUGAUCAUUUUUAAUUGAUUUUUCGUUCCUGGACGAAUCGUGUAUUAUGUUUUUAUUAACCUGUUGGUGAUUAUUUUGGCAUACUUUUGCGUUUGAGCUUGAUUUUUCCUUAAUUAUUGUCGGGAUAAAAUCGUCCGUCAUACGAUUUCCCACGCUUUUUCGUCUUUUCAAACGAACGACGGUUGUCGCCAUGAGAACGACAAUCUGGCGACUUCGGAAACUCGACCGCGGAUUGGCUGGAAGCCAUCGAAUGACUAGCGGACGUCUAGUAGCGCUACUAUGCGCUGAUUGGUGGAAUCCGAUUUGCUUCAAUCCGUAUAAAAGGAUUGAGGUUAGGUGGGAAGAUUGGUUCGCCUAGGAUAUAUCAAGGGAACUUACGUUCGUCUAACUUCGCCUAAGCUGGCCUAGAGGAUUGUUUCGUCUCGCUGUGCGGUGAAUAACGUUGGAAGGAGUUCGUCACAAGAUGUCUUUUCGACGGACCUGUUUUCGUGGAUUAAAGGCGUGUGGGGACAGAUGAGUUGCGCAGGGCCGGCGCACUGAUUCGCCUAGACGGCCAUUUAACUUUUUGAAAAUACGUCGACAUCAGAAUGAAAGGUCCAUUUAUGGAUUCGAUACAGGAUCAGCAUCAGCCGUUCGAAUAGUUUUGCGACGUGAGAGGUAAGAGAGAUCGGCCAAUAAGAGGAGCAUAUCGUCGCUGGGCGACCCGGUUUUAAUGAUCGGAACAACGGUAGAAGAGGUCCAGUCUGGUGGGCAGGACUCUGAGGUCGUUUAAGAGAUUGAAGAGAGCCUAGAGGCCCACAUUUGGGAGGGUCCGUGUGCGCUUACGCCAUCUGGACUCGGUGUAGUGUUCCGAAGAUGGUGUAUGGCUCGGCGGAGUUCGAGGAGAUGAAAGGGGGGAAAUCGUCAAACUUUGGGGCCUUCAGCCGUGAUCGUCGGCGGGGAUCUCAGCCGACGGAAGAUGCGAUGGAGGGGGAGAGAGGCACACAAACGACCCCACAACUCCAGACGAGCCUGACGGCUCUUCCGACGGAGUUUCGCUCCUAAUUGUUUAUAUUUAUUCCACCAGGAGUGAGACGUCCGCCUGCAGGCUAGGCGGAACGCACGAUGUUUAAGCGCUAUAAGGCGGCUGCAUUUAUGCCCGAGGAGAGAAUGGAGCGAAUUAUAGUAUUAGAGGACCGCGUCUCACGAAUAGUGUCUACAAAGGCGUUAUAUGAGGCGGGAAUAGAUUCCUCGGUGGUCCAAAGCUGAUUGAGGUUAUUGAAAUAACGACUCCAGUUUGUAGUAAAGUGUAAACGAGGGUAGUCGUCGGGUUAGGGGUGCCCGAGAUAAAUAGUGAUCGAAAUAGGAGCGUGGUCACUGGUUAAGGUAUCCACGCAAGGGCUCCACAAGGCGGAACCUAACAGGUCCGGGGAGCAGAAGGUCAGGUCUACAGCUGAUGAUCCGUUUGGGUGGAAAUAAGUUGGUUUCCCUGAGUUCCAACAGCAUAAGUUCGCGGAUGAGAACCAAUCGAAGAGGAUGCGGCCCGCGAUGUCUGGGCGUUUGCACUCGUUAUCCCAAUAAGGAUGAUAAGCGUUCCAGUUCCCGCACACUAUGCGAGGGUGGUGAUUGCCCCGCAAAAGGGGAUCCAGUGUCUUCUCCAGUCCGGCUUUCAUCUUUCGCCGUCGACGCAAGCGACUCCACGUUGCCAGACGAAGAAAAUAUGAACGUCUACACUUCCAGCCAGCAUUAAUGUCAAUUUCUUCCGCGGCGCAAAGGUAUCGUCGGCUUUACAGUACAGGCGUAUUGUCUAAGCACGGAAGGACGACGAUGGCAGUGGGGAAAAUAUUAAAGUACUUAGUUGCAGGUUGUGUUUAUCUACUUAUCACAAAAAAAGUUUUUUUAAUACGGAUGUCCGUCAUAUCGGUUCAUAUUGUCGUAUCGGAGACAGUUUACGUAGCAUAUACUUGUGUAAUUAAUUAAAAUACGGGUAUAUAUACAGUAUAUACACGCACAACCCAUUUUGCUUAAUAUAUCGUAUUUCGGUGGUGUAAAUUUAUAUAUAAAGUAUAUUAUUUGCCUUUUCGUUUGUAAGAAUCUCGAUUUAAUUGAAUUGUAAAUAUAAAACGGACCGGACGGGAUACUUUAAAUGACCCACAAAAAUUACGAUAAAACGUAAAUACUAGUACAUUAAUUAAUAAGUCAAAAAACGAUGAAACUUGUUAUAAACGGAAGGGUGGGUUUAGGCAGAGCUCGAAUGUCCAGUUCCAAGGUGAUUUCCUAGUCGCUUCGAUGGUUGGGAAAUGUGUUCGAUAUUUUUGCGUUUAUAUCAUUUACGAUUUAAGCGACUAAUAAAAUUCGAUAUAUGGAUUUGUCUGUUUUUAUUGAUAGUUAUGAAGUAUGUAUAAUUUUUCUAAUAUUCUUCCUUUUUUAUCAUGGAAUUGCCAAACCAUGUAAUUAUUAGUUGAAUUUUAAAUAGGUCAAACAAAUUUGUUAAAAUUUUAAAUGUCAAACUGAUUUUUCUUUAAAUUUUCAUUUUCAUUCUGCUGUGAAAGCAUGUCCCCUGCAUUUAGGACAUUGUUAUUUUCAUUUAGCCAUUGGACUAAGCAGCGAGUAUGGAACUGGUGUCCGCACGGUAAAACUGUCAGACUUUCUCCUCCUUGAAUGUCACUAAUGCAUAUCACACAUGAUGUUUGAUUGGAACGACGAAUGUUAAAAUUAAGAUAAACAUUACUUGUUGCUGAAUAUAAUUUUGUAUUGUAUCCACGCACUUCUGGCACUCCUAAUAUUUUGUGGAGUGCCAUUAAUUCGUGGACCACGACGAUCGUGAUGGCUAAUUGUUGAGAAAUUAAACGGUCUAUGUCCAGAAGCAGUUUCAAAUCGUGCAUUUUGGUUUAGCAGCAGAGCAGGUGAUAAAUGCUGCGAAGUUUGUUCAGAAGUGUAAACUUGUCCCAUAUUAUAUGCAAUGGCAAUUUGUAAUUGAAUUAAUGGCCCACUAGGAGGUCGAUUAACGUUUGUUAUUCUUAUUCUUCUUCGUACAUUUCUAUUUGUUAGAAGUAAAGAUAAAUGGUCCAGAAAAGUUUGGUGAUAAGACCGCAUUCUCCUCCUCCUCAUUUCUUUCUGUGCCAGGCAUUACUUAAUAAUUAUUUAUUCUUGUUUUGUCGUAAUUUCUUUCCUUAACAAAAUGACAAUCGAAGUUCAAUGCCUCUUUGAGAAAUUGUUAGCACGCAUUGUUGAAUGUUUUAAUUGUCGGCCCAGUUUGCUGGAAAAAACAAAUUUUUUUUCUAGCAACACAUUUUUCUGACAAGUUAAAUUAAAAAAUAAAAUUAAAAUCAACUUUAGAUUCGUUGUCCAUUGUAAGCUAAAGUAUAUUUUUUUUCAACAAAAUCAUUGAAAUUCAAUUCGUUUAAUAAAUCAGACUCAAUAUUUACGACUGAAAGAUAGAACAACCUAUCAUGCAAUAUUGUAAUUCGGUAUUUUUUUUUCGUAUUUUAAUUAAGAAAAAGAACGUUUCUUAGUGCAAUUCGUUAUCAGAAAACAAAUAAAUAUGUCGGAACAGGUAAACCCUCCGUUGGGAAUUCCUUAAGGGAGCCUUCGAGCUUUCCUUGGCUCCGGGUCUCGCACGUACCAAAGACGAGCCUGAGUCAAGUAUACACUGCAAAUAAUUUUUUAUAUAAUGUUCCAAAUUAUAUAGUACUGAGAAUUUAAAAUCCACUAAUGGUCUAAAAAUCUGUCCCACCUUGUGGGUUUUAAGUCUAAUAUUAAGUUGAGGGAUAUGUACAUUAUUAAAAUUUACUAUCUUCUUAAAAUCUUGACUUGUGAACUCUUUUCUAUGUUUUCAUUAAUUUAAUUAGUUUCUUUUUAAUAUCUUCUGUUGGAUCACUUGGCAAAACUUCAUAUUCAUCUGUAGCUACUAUAUGUUUUUUCUUUUGUUGUAAGUCUGAAGUGCAUGAGAUUUAUCUGCUUUUAUAAUAGAAAUUUGUUUAUUUUUAAAGAAACUUAAUUAGUUUAUUUGUUUUUUUAUUAAUUUUAAUUGAUAUCGAAAUCGAAAAAAUGACACAAAAUGAAUAAGAUUGUUAAUGAUGAAGUAAUAUUUAAUGACGAGUGGGACUCUUCAUGUGAACAAAAUGAUUAAAUGUAAGCUAAAAUUUUAGGAAAUGGCAUAAUAGUGAUGAUAGAUAUUAUAUGUAAAUAUUAAUACUUUGUAACGCUUACCACCUAAUUUUCAUGUAAUUAUGUAUAUGGACAAAUGCACAUAAAGUUUUUGUAAUCCAUUCCCAUAUUUUUUAUUGUUAUCACUGUUUGUAAAGAAAAUAUUAUAUGAAAAUGUCUAUUCAUUUGAAUACUAUUACUUUGAUUUGUUAUUUUUUCAAAGCUUAUGCUUGCUAAAGCAUGUACCACUUUGUAUCACAAUAUCCCCUAUAUGUAAAUAAUGUAUAUAAUAUGUAAAUAAUUUGAGGUAUUGUGAAUUUUUAUGUAAGUUGGUGGAAACAAAUACCAACUCUUUAAGUAACUUGUGUACGGAAAACAAAGUUUUAAUGUUUAUAACUGCUACAGCAUGUUGCUGAAAUGUAAGUUAAUUAGUAUUCAAUAAACUUUUAUUAAAAAAAAAAAAAACAUAAAAAACGUUAAAA